GUAGGUGGUUCGCCUGCGAUAUUAGUCUGCUUAGCAGGCAACAUCUCUACUGUGCUAGAAAUUACAAAUGUAUUACUAGCAGCCUGCUUAGCAGGUUCACAGAUCAAAUAGAGGUGGCCCUCUGGGGUUAAGAUAUGAUCGAGUUGAUGCUGUAAGAGCAUCAGGGAAUUGGAACCUGCGGAAGGAUCAUUAAAGAGUUUAGAGGCUUCGGCCUACUACUCCACCCUUUGUUUACAAUACCUUUGUUGCU
Molecule: unclassified non-coding RNA, 250 nt
Filed under: plant metagenome
Description: partial contains small subunit ribosomal RNA, internal transcribed spacer 1, and 5.8S ribosomal RNA
Source: RNAcentral